This is a non-coding RNA of Caenorhabditis elegans, 62 nucleotides long. NCBI's taxonomy places the organism in Eukaryota, Metazoa, Nematoda, Chromadorea, Rhabditida, Rhabditidae. The record is from Ensembl.
UUCACAUACACUUUCUCUCAAUCAAGCGACCCAUUGAAACCGACUGUCCGGAAAUUGUGUUA